Molecule: long non-coding RNA, 6854 nt
Filed under: Eucalyptus grandis
Lineage: Eukaryota; Viridiplantae; Streptophyta; Magnoliopsida; Myrtales; Myrtaceae
Description: long non-coding RNA (EGRA_LNC005052)
Source: RNAcentral
AUCAACUUAACAUACCUUUCUACUGAGAGAGGAUCUUCAGAAGUUCUUUUAGGAAAGACAUGAGGGUAAACAAACCGAUGAAACCGUUUUCUUGUCAACCCCUCGGUAUCAACAGCAGUGACGGCGGUUGGGAUUAUGUCUGCCUGGACGGAUUAAUUUUUUUUUGUAAGUGAAGGGAGCUGGAAGUGACGCUCGGUUGUUGAAACAACAGACGAUGAUGAACAGUUGAACACUGCUUGUUCUUAUUGUGGCAGCAUUGGAAUUGUGUGAAUGGGCUAGAGUUUCCCUGUUUAUUCCCGUCCGAUCUUUCUUGGAGUAGCGUGUCAACUGUCAAGAAACAACACGGGCAAGAUCACGGACUCUGGGCUCUUAGAAAUUCAGGAGGCCGAGCCAUGUCGCGAGACUCGAUGAAAUUGUCCGCCUCUCGUCUUGUAGAGAUGACCCGAAAGCGAAAUAGCAUAGACCGAAGUAUCCAAACGCGAAACCCACUCUUAGGCCCUGCGAGGUAACUUGCUAUAGGCUCUUCAUGGUAACCUGUUAUUCUUUUGUUUCUCGAAAUAGAAAAAAAAUAUAGAAAUUCAUUUGAUAAUAUCAAUUAAUUUUUCUAUUCCCGAUAAUAAAAAAAAGUAGUUGAUAAAUAGAUUUAAAAUAGAAAUAAGAAUUAAAAAAAAAGUAAUUUAUUGUUUCCGAGAACAAUUAUUAUAAAUAAGUCAUUUUUUUUUCUUUUCCUUGUUGCUCGUCGCUCCUUACCGUUUGCCACCUCACGCGGCCGCCCGCCAUCGAUCAUCAAUUGCAGCCACCGAGAGGAGGAGCAAGAAAAAGAAGAGAGGGAAAAAAGAAAAAUCUAAAAAAUUUAUUAAUUUUUUUUUUUUAACUUGUAGGUCAUAUCAAACGCAUUCCUCUUUUUUUCUUCAAUCUCGAGAAUAUAAAUUUUGUAUAAUUAUCAAACGUGUUCUUUUAUUUAAAAAUUGUUAUAGAUAUUAUAAAUAGAAAAAGACUACUUUUGAAAAAAAAAAUUGUUUCUCCAAACAAAAAUAUUACCAAACGUAUUCUUAUUAAUAUAGAGUUGAAUUGCUUUCCCAUGAUGUAAUUCUUUUCCAUAUGGAGAUUGUGAAUGAAUUUUUAGGGUGCGCAUCAUAAGCAUCAUAUUCCUCUAAUUUUUAUUUUUUUUGUUCUUAGGAAUAGGCUUGGAACAUAAAUUCACUUGAUAAUGAAAUUUUAUUUUUUACUUGAUGAAAUAAAUUUUUACUUCAGAAGUAGGUUUGGAAUAAAAAUGAGAAAUAAAAUUUUUUUUCUUUUCUAUUUCUGGAACAAAAGUAGAAAUAAAAAAUAUUUUCAUCAUUUACUUUCACUACUAGCUGGCCACCCGUCAUUGCUCGACACUAGUCGCUUGCCGUCUGUUCAUCCACCGCCUCCUAUAGCCAUUUGUGAGGGAGAAAUUUUGUGUUCUCAAACAAAUUUCCAUUUCAAUGAUAGAAAUUUUGUAUAAUUAUCAAAUGCGUAUUUUUGUUCACAAACAUGUCCAAGGAGUUAAAAAAUAGAAAAAUCUGUCUUUGGCCAAAAAUUGAUUUCCAAAAUCGAAUGAUUAUCAUCCGCGUCCUUAAUUUUUGGUUUGUUGUAAUAUGUCGCAAAAUGCGAGUGCCUGGACUUGCUUUUUCCAAACCAUGUAAAGCUUUUCAUAAACCUUUUAAAGCUUACUUUCUUAUGAACUUUUAAAUACAAAAUAUUAUUAAUCUAUCUUUAGAUUAUAAAAAAGUUCACAUAAAUAUACGUAUGUGGUGCUGACAAAUGAGGCAGAACCGGCGGAAAAUGCUAUACCAUGGUGGCAGAUUAAUGAGAAUAAGAAGACGGGGGAGAUCAGCUUGAACAUACUUUUUAAGUGAGAAAAGUGCCAAAAAAGUCAUAAAUCUUUUUAUCUUUGUGCCGAUUUAGUCCUAAACCUUUUUACGUUGUGUUAAUUCAGUCAUUUCCAACCAAUUUUGGUCGGAUUUUGCUAACUGGACGUCGGCCGGCUGACGUGGCCUGAUCGGCGCUAACAUUGACAACUUUUAAUAAUAUUUUAAUAUUUUUUAUUCUUUAUUCUUUAUUCUUUUUCUUUAUUUUUUCUCCUCUUCUUCCUCUAGCUGAUCGCCGGACUUUGGCGAUCAGCCAGAAGCAACGGUCGGCGAGGGUGGCCUCACGUUGGGCGGGCAAGGCCGCCCUCAAGGCCUGGGCGGGGAGGUUCGCCCUCGCCGAAUCUGGUGAGGGUCGAGCCUCACCCAUGGCCUGUGAGGGCGAGCCCAAGCCAGCUCGGCGCAAGGCUAGCUCGAGGCUACCUCCUCUCGCAAAGUGGGCAGGGUUCACCCUCACUGCCCAGGCCUUGAAGGCGGCCUCACACCAAGCGAGCGAGGCUUGCUCUCACCGGAUCUAGCGAGGUCGAGCCUCACCGCCCAUGGGCAAGGCUCGACCCUCACCGGCCGUUGCCUCUGACCGAUUGUGAGGUCCGGCGACUGGUUGGAGGAAGAAGAGGAGAAGAAAAAAAGGAAAAAAUUAAAAUAUUAUUAAAAAUUGUCAACAUCAACCGGCCGGCUUCCAGUCAGCAAAAUUCGAACAAAAUUACCCGGAAAUGAUUGAAUUAACACAAUGUAAAAAAAUUUAGUACUAAAUCGACACCAAAAAAAGGUUUAGGACUAAAUUGAUAUAAAGACAAAAGAUUUAUAACUUUUGUUGGCACUUUUCCCUUUUUUUUAAGUGGUUUCUUCCCCUUCUUUCCCUUGUGAGUUAGGGCUCUCUCUUGGGAGAUUUCAUUCGGUUUCUGUCCAAAUUAAGAGACAUAAUGGAUAUUCUUUCUAUUCAAACGGAAGAUGAGUCUUAAAGAAUUGAAAUUCCACCUUCUCUCACGCAAAGAUUGACCAAAUGUUCACUCUAUAUACUGUAAUUAUAUACCUACUAACUCACUUUAUCUAAAUCUGAUUUUCUAGACAGGCCAAUCCUAUGUCGGCGGGGAUCGGCCCCACGAUUUCGUCAUCUUUCUAAUCAGGUUUGACUACGACGAGGGCGUUAGAAGGGAUCGUUGUCGGCAGACCGCAAUCCUUAGUAACUUUCUUCGUGAUUACAUGAAAAUUCAGUCACAUUUCAAUUGGUUUCGCCUUUAUUUGGCUGAAAUUGAAUUGCUAACGAAAUAUUUUUCACCGAAAUUUGUUCAUAAUUAUUUGUUAAGAGAAGAUAAGUUCUGUAGCGAUUUCAAUCAUGGAUUCCAAUGAAUCACAAUGAACGGAUACAACUCACGACAACAAAAUAUAAAGCACUUUGUCAAAAUUUAAUUGAUGACAAAGUGAUAAAGAGACAUAAUAUUGAAUUUAAAUUGACGAUGAAGAUUUCUUAAAUACAACUCCAAUACGGGAAUUGAAAGACAUUUGAAUUGUGGAAGAGUAAAGAUAAAAAUAAAUUUGCUAGAAAAUUGAAUUCUUUGGUUGAUUGAAGGAGGUCAUCUACAUGAAUAUACUUAGGUAUUUAUAGCCUAACAUAAUCGAUAAUUACUUAUGCAUGGUUAUUAUUUAAAUCUUUAGACUUGCCACAAUCUCAAGUUUCAUAGCUCCCCUAUGAAGGGUUAUUACUCGAAUUUCCAAGCAUAAUUUCCUUGCCACAAUCUUAAACUUCAUAACUCCACGUAAUCCUUAUCUGAAGUAAAUUCCAACCAUUUUUAAUACUUAUCUUAAAUAUUAAUCAUAUGGUAAAAUCAUAAUCGAUCAAUAUAUCGACAGCGAUACCUAAUUGUCAAUAUUCAUGAUUGUCUUUGCAAUAUAACACUUGUCGAUCGAUAUAGCUUUUACUCAUCAACAUUGAAGUCAAUCGACAGCUAAUCACAAUCACAUGAUAUCUGUAUCGAUAGCAACAUCAAUCNNNNNNNNNNNNNNNNNNNNNNNNNNNNNNNNNNNNNNNNNNNNNNNNNNNNNNNNNNNNNNNNNNNNNNNNNNNNNNNNNNNNNNNNNNNNNNNNNNNNUCCGAUUGCCUUCGCUCUCAUUGUUGUUGCUCUUGGAGCUGUCAAGUGCGGUUUGCUGAUGUAUGUCCUGCUUGGUGACAUGCCUUGGUCAAUUUUCUUUCUCUAUGUUGUCCUCAUAGCAUUUACAUUUACCGCGAAUUAGAGAAUGGUGACAAUUUCCUAUUCUCUUGAUGCUGUGGUUUGCAAACUCGGCUUUAAUUUGUGUCCUAAUGCUGGUUUGGAGAUGAACCUUGUGUUGUUCUAUUAUUACUUCAAAUACCUUUUACAUCAUAAGGAGAAUAUGUAAUGAUGAUAAAUAGUGACAGUUUCCGGAGAUGGACCUUGUUGUUGAUUCAGUAUCUUAACAGAAAAGUGAGAAUGAAUAAUCUUGGUUCAAUGUAAGCAUAGACGUCUAUAAAUGCAUGUCGAUGACUAAAAAUGUUUUUACAUUUGAAAAGGGCUGGAGAGUAUGAUUUUCUGGGAAUGAAGUCGCUCUAAGCCCUCGGCAACAAUAGUUUUUUUUUUUUUUUUUUUUUUGUGCACUGAGAAAGGGGUUGUAAGCUUAAGAGAAGCCAAUUAUUUCCAUUUUCUUCGUAGUUGAGAUCAAGUAUCAAAUGUGGACCAUCAAAAACCCAAAGCAAAUCACUAGAAAUUCUGUUUUCUUGCACCUCAUAUUCUUUGAUCACGAGAAACUCAUAGAUGAAAGCAUUGGAACACCAAGUUGUACCCAAGAUGUGUUCUCUAUUCUUUUUAUUAUUUUGUUAAAAUAUCCAGGAUUUAAUUCUCGAUGUUCUCAGUGACUCAAACUCUUGAAAUAGACAAUGUAAUUGGGGACAUAUUUGGUGACUGUAAAUCUGUCAAAAAAUAAGAUGGGAGUUUGCUGUCAUGCUAACAUGGGUCGGAUGAUGCUAACUGAAUGCCGCAUUGGCUGCAAGUCAAAGUCGUGUACAAAUAGCAAAUUAAAUUAUGCAUUUUUUUUUAUAAAUAAUAUGUACAGGGGUUGUGUUUGUAUGUCUGUAAUUAUGUACACCGCUACUGAACAUGAGAUUGCCAUUGCUUGCGUAAGCAUUCAAUGGAUCAGCAGUAAUGAAAUUGCAAAGCUACUUUCUUGCUCUCCUGUCCAAUUCUGUUCUUUGAUCUUCAUCGCGGUGACGAGACGCGAGAGAAGAGGCCCGGCCCAGUCGUAAUGGGCUAGGGAGGAGGACUAGUUUUGGGCCGAGAGCCGGCCCAUCUCGGCCCAGUCGCAGCUGGGCCGGCGAGAGUAAACUAAAGACCAGAGGGGAGAGAGAGAGGGUGGCGAGGGCGAUUUCGGCUGCGCGAAGAUGGCGUCCUCCGGCGCCGCCGUCGGAUCCGGAGCUCCGGUCACGCUGAAGGAGCUCCGGCCGCCGUCUCCUCUCUUCGCCGACGGGGCUUCUGUUCGCGUCCUCGGCAAGUAGGCUCUCAUGUCCUUCCUCCUCCUCCUCCUCCUCCUCCUCCACCUCCUCCUGCGCAAUGGUGUUGAAUUGAUCUGUUGAAUCAGUGCUCCUGGCGCCUUCUCCCUCCCCCCUGAUUCUCGUCGAUCCGCUCGCCAUUUCAUUUUCCGUCCCUACCUGGUUUCGCCUUUUCCGAGGGGAUAUCGGCGCGUGAAACGGAGCUUGUACGAGCUAGGGUUUUGCAUAGUAGUUAGCUUUUGAUUACUCUAGGGUCGAUGAGAUUGCAGAUGCGUGUAAUGUGGCUGCGAAGCCGAGCUCCGGAGUUGCAGCUCUCGUACACUUGUAGGACUAGACUGGACUUACGACCUUGUCAUCGACAUUCCGCCAUUUGGAACUUGUUUUCGUUCGUGUCAGAUUGGGCAGGCUUCGGCUGGCAAUGAACUUCCAAUGCCCGUGUGACGGCCGGAAAAAUAAAAGAACUUGAACUGUGUUGAGUUUCAUGAUUGAUUGAUGCCGCACUGCACAAGUUUCGGUUUUUUUUCUUGUUUUUGAGGAUGGCAAGGCCUGUAAUGAACUUGGAUCAGACAUUUUCCUAGGUACUGAUGUUGUCUAGAUUACUUGAGAAUGUGGCCGAUUUUGGGUUUGGCAAAUGAUCCUGUUUUGAACUGGGAUAAAGCAAUUGCCCCGACCUUGAUGCAAGGCCGAGGCAAAGGCGUUUAAAAAGUUGUCCUCUUUCUUUUCCUCCCUUUCUCGGUCAUCUGUGCGCCUUUCGGUUUCUAUUGUUGAUCAGUUUCUCCUUUCAGAAUGUCAUGGUUUUCCGGGGACUGAUAUCUGCUUUUCACUUGAGGUUACAAGAGUAUUCCGUGGAGACAACCAUAGCCAUGAUUGUCGAUGGAGAUGCCAGUCUGAAGAUCGACACACAGCAUCUGAGGGACCAUAGUUUUCAUAUUGGCUCGAUCUACCAGUUUAUUGACGAACUCUCGAUUCAACCUGAUAAUGAGGUGAGAACAACUUUCAUUGUUUAAGAUUUGAGUUCUGCCGGCAAAUUGAAUUGCGCACGAUGUGUGUAUUGUGCUUGGUGGUAUUGACCAUUUGGGUUAAAAGAGUGUUCUUGCUUUGCAGGCGCUGUUGCGGGCUCGAGUGGGUAGAAAUGUCGAUGGCCUCGAACUCAACCUCUACUAUCAGUCUUUGCAGCUUGUUAUGCAGUUUCAGGCUGAACGCACGAGGUGUCAAUCAACUUAACAAACCUUUCUACCGAGAAACUACUGAGAAAGGAUCCUCAGAAGUUCUUUUAGGAAGGACACGAGGGUAAACAAACCGAUGAAACUGUUUCCUUUCCAACCCCUUGGCAUCAACAGCAGCAACGGCGGUUGGGAUUAUGUCUGUCUGGACGGAUUGAAUUUUUUGUAAGUGAAGGAAGCUGGAAGUAACGCUGAGUUGAUGAAACAUCAUAGCAUCUAAACUAAGCAUCGCUCAGCAGG